CGCCUUGCCAGCCCGCUCAGAAACUCAAAUGAAUUGACGGGGACCCGCACAAGCAGCGGAGCGUGUGGUUUAAUUCGUUGCUACACGAAGAACCUUACCUGGGUUUGACAUAUAGGUUGUAGGGAACUGAAAAGGGACCGACCCUUCGGGGAGCCUAUACAGGUGUUGCAUGGCUGUCGUCAGCUCGUGUCGUGAGAUGUUCGGUUAAGUCCGCUAACGAGCGCAACCCUCGUCGUAUGUUAUAUGUGUCAUACGAGACUGCCGGUAAAAAGCCGGAGGAAGGUGAGGAUGAUGUCAAGUCAGCAUGACCUUUAUAUCCAGGGCUACACACACGCUACAAUGGUCUGUACAAUGGGUAGCCAAGCCGCGAGGCGGUGCCAAUCCUGAAAGCAGGCCUCAGUUCAGAUUGCAGUCUGCAACUCGACUGCAUGAAGCCGGAGUUGCUAGUAACCGCAGGUCAGCAAUACUGCGGUGAAUACGUUCCCGGGUCUU
Molecule: ribosomal RNA, 492 nt
Filed under: uncultured Anaerolineaceae bacterium
Lineage: Bacteria; Bacillati; Chloroflexota; Anaerolineae; Anaerolineales; Anaerolineaceae
Description: bacterial SSU rRNA
Rfam family: Bacterial small subunit ribosomal RNA
Source: RNAcentral